GGAAUAUUGGACAAUGGGCGCAAGCCUGAUCCAGCCAUGCCGCGUGAGUGAUGAAGGCCCUAGGGUUGUCAAGCUCUUUCACCGGUGAAGAUAAUGACGGUCACCGGAGAAGAAGCCCCGGCUAAAUGCGUGCCAGCAGCCGCGGUAAUACGAAGGGGGCUAGCGUUGUUCGGAAUUCCUGGGCGUAAAGCGCACGUAGGCGGAUUGUUAAGUUAGGGGUGAAAUCCCAGGGCUCAACCCUGGAACUGCCUUUAAUACUGGCAAUCUAGAGUCCGAGAGAGGUGAGUGGAAUUCCGAGUGUAGAGGUGAAAUUCGUAGAUAUUCGGAGGAACACCAGUGGCGAAGGCGGCUCACUGGCUCGGUACUGACGCUGAGGUGCGAAAGCGUGGGGAGCAAAC
This 398-nucleotide ribosomal RNA is filed under the name uncultured bacterium. RNAcentral describes it as "bacterial SSU rRNA". It matches the Rfam family "Bacterial small subunit ribosomal RNA", at positions 358 to 773 of the family's 1533-position model. The record is from RNAcentral.